Non-coding RNA from Aedes albopictus (Asian tiger mosquito), 74 nucleotides. NCBI's taxonomy places the organism in Eukaryota, Metazoa, Arthropoda, Insecta, Diptera, Culicidae. The record is from Rfam.
UGUUCUGUGUCUUAGUUGGUUAAAGCGCCGGUCGUGUGAAUAUGGAGUCAUGGGUUCGAAUCCCACCAGAACAC